GCCUAGUUCACCUUUCGGUUCCUCUUGCUGCCCUUUCCCGCGGCCUUUUUCACUGGUUUCUUCUGGCUUUCUCCUCCUGGUUCCUCCCUCGAGGCUCUUCCUCCUGCCUCUUCUCUCCCCUCCGGGCAGCCCCCUUCUCCUACAACUCCUCUCAAGCCCCGCCCCUGGCUGGCCCUCUGUCCCUCCCCUGGCUGAUACGGUCAGAACCUCGGGCCUGGUUGAGUCUGGCAGCGCAGCUGCUCUGCGGCCUUUGGGGCAGAAGCCCCCUCCUGGGACCUCCUCUCCUUCCUAUGCGUCAGUUUCCGGCCACAGAUGCCUUGCCUUGUCCACUAGAGACUUCCUGAACUUCGGAUACUGCUUACCUGCCAGUCUGUCUCAGAGGAGGAGAGCAAGCUUCGGGGAACUCUGCCUGCAGAGAUGGACAAGCUCUGGAUCUGAAGGCAUUCCCUAAAGCAACACCAGCCCCUUGUUUUCUGCCGACCUGGCCUAUUUGGAGCAAAUUACUUACUGUUCUGUCUGUCCAGCUUGGAACUGAGAAGUCCAAAGGGAUGGAGAGAGACAGACAGGAAGGAUCCGUGUCAGGAGGCAGGCAAUUUAGAUGAACUCUUUUGCCUUGUUCUCUCUACCCUCACCCCCAUCCUAGCCCCAACAGAUAGCUAGCAGAGCCCUAGGUCCCUGCCCACUACCCCUAUUAAUGGAAGCCUAAUGUACUUGGGCAAAUCUCCCAGCUCUCCAAGUCAAUUUCCCUUAUGUAGACUAGAGAUAAAAUAUAAAACUGUCAUAAGACAAAUUGAGAGUAACAUGGAAGCAUAUACAUUACCAUAUGUAAAC
Bos taurus (domestic cattle) is the source of this 831-nucleotide long non-coding RNA. Lineage: Eukaryota; Metazoa; Chordata; Mammalia; Artiodactyla; Bovidae. The record is from Ensembl.